RNAcentral lists this ribosomal RNA (468 nucleotides) under uncultured bacterium. RNAcentral describes it as "partial 16S ribosomal RNA". It matches the Rfam family "Bacterial small subunit ribosomal RNA", at positions 28 to 507 of the family's 1533-position model. The record is from RNAcentral.
GAUGAACGCUGGCGGCGUGCUUAACACAUGCAAGUCGAACGGAAAGGCCCUGCUUUUGUGGGGUGCUCGAGUGCGGAACGCGUGAGUAACACGUGAGUAACCUGCCCUUGUCUUUCGGAUAACUUCAGGAAACUGGGGCUAAUACCGGAUAGGAGAUCCUGCUGCAUGGUGGGGAUUGGAAAGUUGCGGCGGUUGGGGCUGGACGCGCGGCUUAUGAGCUUGUUGGUGGGGUAGGGGUUGGCCAAGGCUUUGACGGGUAGCCGGCCUGUGAGGGUGACCGGCCACAUUGGGACUGAGGUACGGCCCAGACUGCUACGGUAGGCAGCAGUGGGGAAUAUUGCACAAUGAGCGGAAGCGUGAUGCAGCAGCCCCGGGUGCGGGAUGACGGCCUUCGGGGUAAGAACCGCUUUCGCCUGUGACGAAGCGUGAGUGACGGUAAUGAGUAAAGAAGCACCGGCUAACUACGUG